This is a long non-coding RNA of Sinocyclocheilus anshuiensis, 358 nucleotides long. RefSeq lists it as uncharacterized. The transcript is spliced from 2 exons. The record is from RefSeq and is a predicted model, not a curated record. Lineage: Eukaryota; Metazoa; Chordata; Actinopteri; Cypriniformes; Cyprinidae.
GUUAUAUUAAAUAAGUUAUUUUAUGGAAAAUGCAAGAAUCCCCAAGAGUUAUCAACACUUGUCUUGUAGGAUGAUCUCACAAAAUCCAUUUUUGUUUAAAAACUGAAAUAUAAUUUUUUUUCUAGUCUGGUAAAGUGAUGGCAGAUAACAGUGUUGGUCGUUUCCUGAUGGAUCUUGUGAACAAAGUGCCCAAGAUCACAGCAGAAGACUUUGAGAGCAUGCUGAACUCCAACAUUAACGAUCUGUUGAUGGUGACCUACCUGGCAAAUCUCACUCAAGCUCAGAUCGCGCUUAAUGAGAAGCUAGUUGUUCUGUGAAAAGAAAUGAAAAUAAAUAAAAAUGUUUGUCAUUCCAACAA